GGGACUGCGCAGCUAACACAUGCAAGUCGGACGGUAGCACAGAGAGAGCUUGCUCCUCGGGUGACGAGUGGCGGACGGGUGAGUAAUGUCUGGGAAACUGCCCGAUGGAGGGGGAUAACUACUGGAAACGGUAGCUAAUACCGCAUAACGUCGCAAGACCAAAGUGGGGGACCUUCGGGCCUCACACCAUCGGAUGUGCCCAGAUGGGAUUAGCUUGUAGGCGGGGUAACGGCCCACCUAGGCGACGAUCCCUAGCUGGUCUGAGAGGAUGACCAGCCACACUGGAACUGAGACACGGUCCAGACUCCUACGGGAGGCAGCAGUGGGGAAUAUUGCACAAUGGGCGCAAGCCUGAUGCAGCCAUGCCGCGUGUAUGAAGAAGGCCUUCGGGUUGUAAAGUACUUUCAGCGGGGAGGAAGGUGUUGAGGUUAAUAACCUCAGCAAUUGACGUUACCCGCAGAAGAAGCACCGGCUAACUCCGUGCCAGCAGCCGCGGUAAUACGGAGGGUGCAAGCGUUAAUCGGAAUUACUGGGCGUAAAGCGCACGCAGGCGGUCUGUUAAGUCAGAUGUGAAAUCCCCGGGCUUAACCUGGGAACUGCAUUUGAAACUGGCAGGCUUGAGUCUCGUACAGGGGGGUACAAUUCCCGGUGUAACGGUGAAAUGCGUAAAGAUCUGGAGGAGUAGCAGUGGCGGAGCGGC
This 700-nucleotide ribosomal RNA is filed under the name Pantoea stewartii. Its description in RNAcentral is "bacterial SSU rRNA". It matches the Rfam family "Bacterial small subunit ribosomal RNA", at positions 38 to 725 of the family's 1533-position model. The record is from RNAcentral. Lineage: Bacteria; Pseudomonadati; Pseudomonadota; Gammaproteobacteria; Enterobacterales; Erwiniaceae.